GAUGAAUGCUGGCGGCGUGCCUAACACAUGCAAGUCGAGCGGCAGCGCGAGUAGUUUACUACUUGGCGGCGAGCGGCGGACGGCUGAGUAACGCGUGGGAACGUGCCCCAAAGUGAGGGAUAACGCACCGAAAGGUGUGCUAAUACCGCAUAUGGUCUUUGGAUUAAAGAAUUUAUUCGCUUUGGGAGCGGCCCGCGUCGGAUUAGGUAGUUGGUAGGGUAAUGGCCUACCAAGCCGACGAGCCGUAGCUGGUCUGAGAGGAUGAUCAGCCAGACUGGAACUGAGACACGGCCCAGACUCCUACGGGAGGCAGCAGUGGGGAAUAUUGCACAAUGGGCGCAAGCCUGAUGCAGCAACGCCGCGUGAGGGGUGACGGCCUUCGGGUUGUAAACCUCUUUUAGUAGGGAAGAAGCGAAAGUGACGGUACCUGCAGAAAAAGCACCGGCUAACUACGUGCCAGCCGCCGCCGUAA
Molecule: ribosomal RNA, 472 nt
Filed under: uncultured bacterium
Lineage: Bacteria
Description: partial 16S ribosomal RNA
Rfam family: Bacterial small subunit ribosomal RNA
Source: RNAcentral